This 231-nucleotide long non-coding RNA is filed under the name Phaseolus vulgaris (common bean). RNAcentral's name for it is "long non-coding RNA (PVUL_LNC004203)". The record is from RNAcentral. Lineage: Eukaryota; Viridiplantae; Streptophyta; Magnoliopsida; Fabales; Fabaceae.
UAAAAUACAAAUAAAAAAUUACAAUUUAUGGUAUGCAUAAAAAAAUAUUUGCAACCAGGUCCUUCCUAAUAAUAACUACUAAUAAGAAAAAAGAUAAUUACUAAAAUGACACUACAAGUGAGUAUAGGUGGCUGUUACUGUAUAGGAGCUGGAAAACAUAUCUUGGUGGUGAACAUGCGCUGAAGGAAUUAUCAAGUUGUAAAUAAAUCCGCUAUUUAAUUCUAUCAGCAA